Molecule: transfer RNA, 76 nt
Filed under: Microbacteriaceae bacterium
Lineage: Bacteria; Bacillati; Actinomycetota; Actinomycetes; Micrococcales; Microbacteriaceae
Description: tRNA-Lys
Rfam family: tRNA
About the family: Transfer RNA (tRNA) molecules are approximately 80 nucleotides in length. Their secondary structure includes four short double-helical elements and three loops (D, anti-codon, and T loops).
Source: RNAcentral
GGGCCUAUAGCUCAGUUGGCAGAGCAAGGGACUUUUAAUCCUUGGGUCGCGGGUUCGAGCCCCGCUGGGCCCACCA